GGGGAAUAUUGGACAAUGGGGGAAACCCUGAUCCAGCAAUGCCGCGUGAGUGAUGAAGGCCUUAGGGUUGUAAAGCUCUUUUACCAGGGAUGAUAAUGACAGUACCUGGAGAAUAAGCUCCGGCUAACUCCGUGCCAGCAGCCGCGGUAAUACGGAGGGAGCUAGCGUUGUUCGGAAUUACUGGGCGUAAAGCGCGCGUAGGCGGCUAUUUAAGUCAGAGGUGAAAUCCCGGGGCUCAACCCCGGAACUGCCUUUGAAACUAGAUGGCUAGAAUCCUGGAGAGGCGAGUGGAAUUCCGAGUGUAGAGGUGAAAUUCGUAGAUAUUCGGAAGAACACCAGUGGCGAAGGCGACUCGCUGGACAGGUAUUGACGCUGAGGUGCGAAAGCGUGGGGAGCAAAC
This 400-nucleotide ribosomal RNA is filed under the name uncultured bacterium. Its description in RNAcentral is "bacterial SSU rRNA". It matches the Rfam family "Bacterial small subunit ribosomal RNA", at positions 356 to 773 of the family's 1533-position model. The record is from RNAcentral.